UGGGGAAUUUUGGACAAUGGGCGAAAGCCUGAUCCAGCAAUGCCGCGUGUGUGAAGAAGGCCUUCGGGUUGUAAAGCACUUUUGUCCGGAAAGAAAUCCUUGGCUCUAAUACAGUCGGGGGGUGACGGUACCGGAAGAAUAAGCACCGGCUAACUACGUGCCAGCAGCCGCGGUAAUACGUAGGGUGCAAGCGUUAAUCGGAAUUACUGGGCGUAAAGCGUGCGCAGGCGGUUUGCUAAGACCGAUGUGAAAUCCCCGGGCUCAACCUGGGAACUGCAUUGGUGACUGGCAGGCUAGAGUAUGGCAGAGGGGGGUAGAAUUCCACGUGUAGCAGUGAAAUGCGUAGAGAUGUGGAGGAAUACCGAUGGCGAAGGCAGCCCCCUGGCCAAUACUGACGCUCAUGCACGAAAGCGUGGGGAGCAAACAGGAUUAGAUACCCUGGUAGUCCACGCCCUAAACGAUGUCAACUAGUUGUUGGGGAUUCAUUUCCUUAGUAACGUAGCUAACGCGUGAAGUUGACCGCCUGGGGAUACGGUCGCAAGAUUAAAACUCAAAGGAAUUGACGGGG
RNAcentral lists this ribosomal RNA (568 nucleotides) under uncultured bacterium. RNAcentral describes it as "partial 16S ribosomal RNA". It matches the Rfam family "Bacterial small subunit ribosomal RNA", at positions 355 to 918 of the family's 1533-position model. The record is from RNAcentral.